GCACUUGCGCACUGGUUGACGGGAGACUGGACGGCGUCGGGUGGGAUGCCGCAGUUUUUCCAGGAAUUGUUUACCUUGUGUCCAUUACCCUCCCUGCUGGAUUCAGGAUGGAGAAAGUGCAUUUUUUUUCCUAACAGCUCUUAUAUUUAAUGGCUGAAGACUUUUCAUGGAAUAAUUUAUGUAUAUUCAUCGUUCCAUUUUAUUUAAACGUUUCCCUAUUGGUGAAUACUUACGUUGUUCCCACCUUUCCCCUAUUACAAAUAAUGCUGCCAUAAAUGUCGAUGUUCCUUGUGUGUAUAUCUUUCUGUGCAUGUUGGAGUUUUUCUGACCAGUUUCUUCAACAUGGGAUAUAUCUAAAGACUAUGCACGUUAUUAAUUUUGAUAAGUACUGCCAAAAUGGCUCAACCAAUUAAAAUAAUUUGGAAGUUUUUCCAUGCUCUAGUGCAUGAUGGAUAUUAUCAAUCUUUUAAAAAAAUUUGCCAGUUUAAUGGAGAUAAAAGGAUGCCUCACUAACCUUUAUUAUUGAUGCUUCUGGUUACUCAUGAGGUUGUGCAGCUUCUUAUAUGUUUAUUGGCAUUUAUAGACUAUGAAUCGCCAAUUCAUAUUCUUAAUCCAUUUUCUAUUGGUUAUUUUUGCUUUCUUAUGGAUUUGUAGGAACUCUAUACAUUCUGAAUAUAUUGUUUCAUAUGUGAAAAAUAUUGUUGCUCAGUUUCCGCCUAGUUGUUUCUGCUCUUUCAUCAUACUUUAAUUUUAAAUUUUAUGUAGUGCUUCAGUCUGUUCUUUUUUUGCCUCUGGAUCUGCAUAUUGCUUAGAAAGGCCUUCUUCACCACAUCUAUGGUUUCCAACCAUUCUUGGAGCAGUUUGUUGUUAUUUGCAAUUAGCUCUUUACUCUGGAAACUAUAUUUUUGUAUAAUGAGAGUUAAGGGACUUAAUUAUGUUUUUUUCUAAAGGAAUAACGAUUUUUUGAGUGCCGUUUAUUUGAGUAACCCUGACUUUCCCCAGUAUUCUGAAAUGGUACCAGUGCUAUUGAUACAGGACCUAAAAAGAAAUUUAGGCAGAUAGUGUAAGAGAGUCCUCAGCAGAGCUUCUUUCUGAACAAAAAGCACUCCCAAAAUUAUUUCUGUUUUGACAAAGAGCAGCCUGAAAAAUUGAGCUACAAACAUAGAUAAGCAAGCUGACAGUGCACGGGAGAAUGCUGGCAGUUGUGCCAAUAGAAAAGGACUACCUGGAAGCCAGGUAUGUUCAAUAUGGAGACUCCAUCUUCCAUUUUCUUUGUCACCACGUGUACAGUGAAGGAACAGGCAACAUGGCAUCAGCCAGGUAGAGAAGCCGUCUGCAUAAUAAAAUAUUAGGGUAGGAAGGCCAGCUUCUUCAUGCACUAUGCAAAUGGCACACCUGGUCCAACCAAUCUUUCAUUCCCUAUGUAAAUCAAACACUGCUUCCUCAAGCUCAUCUAUAAAACCCUGUGCAUUUCAUCGCAGAACUGGCAACCCAUUUUCUCUGGGACCCCUUUCUCUGCACAGAGAGCUCUUGUCUUUGGUUUGCCUGUUAAACUUCUGCUCUUAACCUCACUAUGGUGUGUCGCGUCCUAGUUUUCCGUGGCUGUGGGACAAUGAACCUCAGGUAUUACCCCAGAUAAUGAUGCCGCUACACUAUGUGCUACAUUUCCACAUAAGCUGGCGAUAUGGAGCCCAUGUCAGUGCUCUGUCCACAGUCCUGUGCUUGCGUGCAUUUCCUCCCCCAGGUGCUUUCCUUCCAGCAGCCACGCCUGCAUUUCUCAGAGGACCCCCUUGAAGGCUUCCAUUCCCACGUUUCCUGCUCUCCUGGAGAGUUGGAAGUAUCUGAGAAUGUAUCUUCUCCUGAGCAGUACUUACCAGUGUGGAUUACUGAUGGUAGCUGGAAUAUAAAUAUUGCAGCUUCCUUGCCCCACUUAGCAAGACAACUCUGAGGGGUGAACUUCACCAUUCUCUCUGCAAUUCUGAGUCAAUGGUACUAUCUGCGAAUUCUUUUACAUACUCAUCAAAAGGCAUAUCUUUGUGGCAGCUUCUAUAAGAGAAUGCAGCUGCCAUGUAGAAAGAUCACGUGAGAACCACAUAGAAGGGGGAAGAGAUGACUAAGGGGCCCCAGCUGCCCCAGCCCCUGGCUGUUUGAGUCUUACUAGUCCAGGUACCAGACGUGUGAGAGAUGAAACCUUCAAGGUGGCUCCAGUUCCAGCCACCAUCUGGUUACCACCACUGAGAAACCCUGAGUGAGGUAUGCCUAUCUAAGCCCAGAUGACAUCCAAAUGUGUGGGCAAAAAUAAACGAUUGUUAUUGUUCUAAGCCACUGUUUUGGGAUUGUUAUAUUUUGGGAUAACUGGAAGGAAUACACCGUGGGACUUUGUUUGAUUUGGAACUUUAGCUUGGCCUCUGUAUCAGUUUCCUAGGGCUGCUGUAACACACGAUCACAAACUGGAUGCCUUGAAACAGCAGAAAUUUAUUCUCUCACAUUUCUGGAGGCCAGAUGUACAAAAUUAAGGUGUUGACAGGGCUAUACUCCCUCCAAAGGCUCUGGGGGAGAAGACUUUUUUUGCCUCUUCCAGUGACAGCCUUAACUUAGUUACAUCUGUAAAAAACCUUUUUCCAAAUAGGCCAUGUUCCCAGGUUCUAAUCCCUGAUUCGAAUGUUAACAUGUCUUUUUGGGCUCUACCAUUUAACCUACUAUAGUCCAACCUCUGGCCUUCCAAAUUCACAUCUGCCUCAUGUGCAAAAUACAUUCAUUCCAUCUCAACAUCUCCAAAAGUCCUAACUCUCACUAAAUGUCAUAAAAAUUAAUUCAAAGAGUCUCAAAUAUUCACAUAUAAAUAAUCUAAUACUCAGGUGUAGGUGAGUCUAUGGGUAUGAGCUAUGCAAGGGCAAAAUUCCUCUGCAUCUAUUGACUAGUGAGACUAGAAAACAAGUUACCUGCUUCCAAAACACAAAGGUGGGCCAUGUAUAUGAUAGACAAUCUCACUGCAAAGCAGAGAAAAUAGAAGGAAUAAAAGGGUCAUCAAUCCCAAGCAAGUUAGAAAUCCAACAAGGCAAAGUCAUUUGGUUUCAAGGUCUGGGAAUAAUCCUCUGUGGCUUGAAGCUGUGUCUUUUGGGCUCAUGGCUUCAUAGGCCUCUUUGCUCAUGGCAACUUGGUAGGUCUCUGCUCUUGAACAUUCAGCCUCUACCCCUGUGCCCAAGACCCUGUCCUCAUAGUCAUUCUUCCUUUUUCUUGAAAGGCAGCACAUGCUGAUACCUGAGUAGUUCUAUCAGUCCUCUUCUUGCCUGAAGAACUGUGCAUAUCUGACAGCCUCUCUUUCACUUUGUCCUGUCUCAGCCACUUCAGGCCAAGCUGACAGUGUUUCUUCUGGUACAACCUUCUCAAGAACUUUUGAGGCUCCCAUGUAUGUCACAGGGAUCCAUGCCAUUAGAUAAAAGAACCCCCACAGAUCUUUCCUGGAUAACGCUGGAUCUAUCCUUGGAUCUGUGAGAUAAUUGAGGGAUCCAUCAGUUGUAGAGCAGAUCUCUUCAGCACAAUAUUGUCUAGGCACACCCUUGGCCCUCUAUCCAGAGUACACUUUCCCAACAGUGAGUUUCCCAAUUUUAGCAUCUUUUGCAAUCUGAAUAGGCCAAGAAGCUCCCAAUUAUCAAGUGUUGUUUCUUUUUGCUUAACAGCUCCUUCCUCAAUUUACUUCUUUCCUUUUGUGUUUCAUUACAAACAGCAUGAAGAAACCAGGCUGCACCUUCGACACUUUGCUUAGAAAUCUCCUCAGCUAAAUAUCCAAGUUCAUUGCCUACAAAUUCUGCUCUCCACCUAAGGACACAAUUCAUCCAAGUUCUUUGCCACUGUGUCACAAGGAUCACUUUGCCUUCAGUUUCCAAUAACAUGUUCCUCAUUUCCUUCUUAGCCUUCAACAUAAACCACCUUUAACAUCUAUAUUUCUACUAACACUCUGCUCAUGAUGAGAUGUACAUUUCUAAGAUGAUGGAAGAAUUCUCUACCAUGCUCUUCACUUCCUUCUGUUUCCUCACCAGAAUUGCCUUUAAAAUCCAUAACUCCACUGUCUCUUCAAGAAAGUCUAUGACUUUUCUCUCAAGUACCUCAAAAACCAUCCAACCUCUAUUUAUUACUCAGUUCCAAAGUCACUUCCACAAUUUGAGGUAUUUAUUAAAGUAGCACCCACUUCCUGGUACCAAAAUCUGUAUUAGUUUUCUAGGGCUGCCAUAACAAAUGCCACAAACUAUGUGGCUUAAAACAGACAAAAUUUUUUUCUCCAAAGUCUGGAGAUCAGAAGUCCAACAUCAUGGUAUUGACAGAGCCACUCUCUUUCUGAAGGCUCUAGGAGAGAAUCAUUCUUUCCCCUUCCAGGUCCUGGUGGCUCCAGGAAUUCUUGGCUUGUGGCAGCAUCACUGUAAUUUCUACCUUAAUCUUUUCAUGGCCAUCUCUUCCUGUAUGUGUCUCUCCUCUGUGUCUCUUAUAAAGUCACUUCUCAUUAGAUUUAGGGCCCACCUGGGUAAUUCAGGAUGAUCUCAUCUUGAGAUCCUUCAUUACAUCUGUUAGGACCCUUUCACCAAAUAAGGUCAUAUUGACAUGUUCUGGGGUAUAAUAGGGCUCUCCAGGGAAACAGGAUAAAUAAAACAUAUAUAGAUCUCUACAUAAGAGGAGAUUUAUUAUGAUUGGCUUGGCCGGGCACAGUGGCUCAUGCCUGUAAUCCCAGCACUUUGGGAGGCUGAGGCGGGUGGAUCACCUGAGGUCAGGAGUUCAAGACCAGCCUAGCCAACAUAGUGAAACCCCGUCUCUACUUAAAAUACAAAAAAUUAGCUGGGUGUGGUGGUACGCACUGGUAAUCCCAGCUACUUGGGAGGCUAAGGCAGCAGAAUCGCUUGAACCCGGGAGGCGGAGAUUGUGGUGAGCCGAGAUCACGCCACUGCACUCCAGACUGGGGGACAAGAGCGAGACUUCGUCUCAAAAAAAAAAAAAAAGGCUCACAUGAUUAUGGAAGUUGAGAAGUCACACAAUCUGCCAUCUGCAAAUUGAAGAACCAGGAAUGUCAGUGGUGUAAUUCAGUCCUCAUCCAAAGGUUUAAGAACCAGGAGCACCAAAGUCCAGGGGCAGGAGAAUAUGGAUGUCCCAGCUUACACAGAAUGAAAUGUACCCUUCCUCUGCUUUUUUGUUCUACUCAAACUUCCCAUGGAUUGAAUCACGCCCACCCACAUUAGUGAAGGCAAUCUGCUUUAUUUAGUCUAUGAAUGCAAAUGCUAAUCUCUUCUGGAAACACCCUUACAGACGCAAGCAGAAAUAAAUUUUACCAGCUAUGUGAGAAUCCCUUAGCCCAGUCAAGUUGACACCUAAAACUAACCAUCACAUGGAGAUUAGGACAUAGGCAUGCCUUUUUGAGAUCCACCAUUCAACUCACUCCAGUGGCCUUCCCUUCCUCAUCCCAACUCCCCUCUUUUACCAUUUUUUCUUGAGAAUGCUCACUAAUAAAUUACUUUUACACAAA
This is a long non-coding RNA of Pongo pygmaeus (Bornean orangutan), 5509 nucleotides long. RefSeq lists it as uncharacterized. NCBI's taxonomy places the organism in Eukaryota, Metazoa, Chordata, Mammalia, Primates, Hominidae. The transcript is spliced from 2 exons. The record is from RefSeq and is a predicted model, not a curated record.